RNAcentral lists this ribosomal RNA (994 nucleotides) under uncultured bacterium. Its description in RNAcentral is "bacterial SSU rRNA". It matches the Rfam family "Bacterial small subunit ribosomal RNA", at positions 74 to 1065 of the family's 1533-position model. The record is from RNAcentral.
AGCCCUUCGGGGUGAGUACAGCGGCGGACGGGUGAGUAACGCGUAGGAAUCUACCUAGUAGUGGGGGACAACUCGUGGAAACGCGAGCUAAUACCGCAUACGCCCUACAGGGGAAAGCGGGGGAUCUUCGGACCUCGUGCUAUUAGAUGAGCCUGCGUAAGAUUAGCUAGUUGGUGGGGUAAUGGCCUACCAAGGCGACGAUCUUUAGCUGGUCUGAGAGGAUGAUCAGCCACACCGGGACUGAGACACGGCCCGGACUCCUACGGGAGGCAGCAGUCGGGAAUAUUGCGCAAUGGGCGAAAGCCUGACGCAGCCAUGCCGCGUGUGUGAAGAAGGCCCUAGGGUUGUAAAGCACUUUCAAUUGGGAGGAAAAGCUAAUGGUUAAUAGCCAUUAGCCCUGACGUUACCUUUAGAAGAAGCACCGGCUAACUCCGUGCCAGCAGCCGCGGUAAUACGGAGGGUGCAAGCGUUAAUCGGAAUUACUGGGCGUAAAGCGCGCGUAGGCGGUUUUUUAAGUCGGAUGUGAAAGCCCCGGGCUCAACCUGGGAAUUGCAUCCGAUACUGGAUGACUAGAAUGCGGGAGAGGGAGGUAGAAUUCCAUGUGUAGCAGUGAAAUGCGUAGAUAUAUGGAGGAAUACCAGUGGCGAAGGCGGCCUCCUGGCUCGACAUUGACGCUGAGGUGCGAAAGCGUGGGGAGCAAACGGGAUUAGAUACCCCGGUAGUCCACGCCGUAAACGAUGUCUACUAGCUGUAGGGGUACUUGAGACCUUUGUAGCGCAGCUAACGCAAUAAGUAGACCGCCUGGGGAGUACGGCCGCAAGGUUAAAACUCAAAUGAAUUGACGGGGGCCCGCACAAGCAGUGGAGCAUGUGGUUUAAUUCGAUGCAACGCGAAGAACCUUACCAGGCCUUGACAUCCCCGGAACUUUCUAGAGAUAGAUUGGUGCCUUCGGGAACCGGGUGACAGGUGCUGCAUGGCUGUCGUCAGCUCGUGU